Daphnia pulicaria is the source of this 156-nucleotide long non-coding RNA. RefSeq lists it as uncharacterized. The record is from RefSeq and is a predicted model, not a curated record. The transcript is spliced from 2 exons. NCBI's taxonomy places the organism in Eukaryota, Metazoa, Arthropoda, Branchiopoda, Diplostraca, Daphniidae.
UCACCUCUUAGUUCUAAUUUAGGACAAUGUAAGAUUUUUAGAUUUGAGGUUAAUCCCUCUCCGCUGUUAUAGUUGUUUGGAAACUGACGAGAGAUUUCUGGAAUUGAAGACUGAUAAUUUGUGUAGAUUUUGAUAAAUUACAAGUGCAUAUCUGGG